GCGCCAGUUAAAACAUGAGUCACGAGCCGGUAUAGUUGGCUUCCCCAGGCACUCGCCUCCAAAAAAAUGGCCUUACCACAAAGGUCCUACCACCUGCAACUGCACAGAUACCAACUAGAGCUUGGAAUUCAGAGUAGACGACAAUGGGGCUGUACCGAAACGGCGGAACCGACGAACCAGAGCCUGUCGAAGCACCGGUUACCAAGCACCGCAAAACAGCCACCUCUACUCCUCCUUCCUGAAACUCACAUGCACCUGAGAACUC
Molecule: long non-coding RNA, 265 nt
Filed under: Brassica napus (rape)
Lineage: Eukaryota; Viridiplantae; Streptophyta; Magnoliopsida; Brassicales; Brassicaceae
Description: long non-coding RNA (BNAP_LNC002251)
Source: RNAcentral